This 167-nucleotide small RNA is filed under the name Apteryx rowi (Okarito brown kiwi). Its description in RNAcentral is "TUC338 (ENSARWG00000013090.1)". The record is from RNAcentral. Lineage: Eukaryota; Metazoa; Chordata; Aves; Apterygiformes; Apterygidae.
GUAGCACUCCUGUAAAGUCCUCUGCUACCCUCAAAAUUGCUAGUGCUAGGGAAGCAGCUUCUUGAUCACCCUUCCCCACCAUCUGGUUUCAUCCUUAGCCUGGAAAGACCUUUGUUAGGGGUGAGAAGGUAGUUCAUUUUCCAUGCUCAAUUAAUCCUUGGGCUUCU